This 424-nucleotide ribosomal RNA is filed under the name Yunohamella palmgreni. RNAcentral's name for it is "partial 16S ribosomal RNA". It matches the Rfam family "Bacterial large subunit ribosomal RNA", at positions 1920 to 2619 of the family's 2925-position model. Lineage: Eukaryota; Metazoa; Arthropoda; Arachnida; Araneae; Theridiidae. The record is from RNAcentral.
UAAUUAAAUAGCCGCAGAAAUUUCUGUGCUAAGGUAGCAUAAUCAUUUGCUUUUUAAUUAAAAGCUAGUAUGAAAGGUUAAACGUUUUAAUUUCUUUAUUAUUAAUAUUUUUUAAAUUUAUCUUAGAUAUAAAAAGAUAUCUAUAUAAUAAAUAGACGACAAGACCCUAUUGAACUUAACUUUAAGUUUAGCUGGGGCAGCUAACUAAUAAUAAUUUUAAUUAAUUUUAUUUUAUAAAUUUUCCAAUUUAAUUGAAUAAAUAAUCAAGUUACCAUAGGGAUAACAGCGUAAUAUUAAUUUAAAGUUCAUAUUAAAAUUAAUGUUUGCGACCUCGAUGUUGAAUUAUAAUUCUUUAUUAAUGCAGUAAUUAUAAAAGUGAGUCUGUUCGACUCUUAAUAUUUUACAUGAUCUGAGUUCAAACCGG